UACGUAGGGACCAAGCGUUGUUCGGAUUUACUGGGCGUAAAGGGCGCGUAGGCGGCGCGGUAAGUCACUUGUGAAAUCUCUGAGCUUAACUCAGAACGGCCAAGUGAUACUGCAGUGCUAGAGUGUGGAAGGGGCAAUCGGAAUUCUUGGUGUAGCGGUGAAAUGCGUAGAUAUCAAGAGGAACACCGGAGGCGAAGGCGGGUUGCUGGGCCGACACUGACGCUGAGGCGCGAAAGCCAGGGGAGCAAACGGG
RNAcentral lists this ribosomal RNA (253 nucleotides) under uncultured bacterium. RNAcentral describes it as "partial 16S ribosomal RNA". It matches the Rfam family "Bacterial small subunit ribosomal RNA", at positions 524 to 776 of the family's 1533-position model. The record is from RNAcentral.